GGUCCGGUAAGGGCCGAUUUUGGCCUCAAAUUUCAGGUUCAUCUAACGAAAUGUUUUGGACACUUUUUAAACACUUAAGUGUCUAUUUUUAUUGAUUCGAUUAGUUAAUGUGAAAGAUUUUAACUGAUUUAGUCAUUAAAAACGCUCUGAUUCAAGCUUAAAUAUGAAAAAUCUAUCAAAUAUGCCAAAAAACGUCACUUUUCAGAUGGUUUUUGUCAAAAAUGAAAGUGGCCGCAUCCGUGUUCAUCUUCAACCUUUAUAUAUGUUUUG
This 270-nucleotide long non-coding RNA is filed under the name Mytilus galloprovincialis (Mediterranean mussel). Lineage: Eukaryota; Metazoa; Mollusca; Bivalvia; Mytilida; Mytilidae. The record is from RNAcentral.